GAUGAACGCUAGCGGCAGGCUUAACACAUGCAAGUCGAGGGGUAUAGUUCUUCGGAGCUAGAGACCGGCGCACGGGUGCGUAACGCGUAUGCAAUCUACCUUUUACAGAGGGAUAGCCCAGAGAAAUUUGGAUUAAUACCUCAUAGUAUGUGAGAAUCGCAUGGUUUUCACAUUAAAGUUCCAACGGUAAAAGAUGAGCAUGCGUCCCAUUAGCUAGAUGGUAAGUAACGGCUUACCAUGGCGACGAUGGGUAGGGGUCCUGAGAGGGGAGAUCCCCCANACUGGUACUGAGACACGGACCAGACUCCUACGGGAGGCAGCAGUGAGGAAUAUUGGUCAAUGGGCGCAAGCCUGAACCAGCCAUGCCGCGUGCAGGAAGAAGCAUCUAAUGGUGUGUAAACUGCUUUUG
Molecule: ribosomal RNA, 409 nt
Filed under: uncultured bacterium
Lineage: Bacteria
Description: bacterial SSU rRNA
Rfam family: Bacterial small subunit ribosomal RNA
Source: RNAcentral